UGCAAACAGUUUGAGGCUCCUUUCUGAUUUCUAAGGUUAACUAAAGGCAGUUCUUGCCAUCUUGUCACACUUGCAUGCCUUUGUCAAACACAAGCUGCAAACAAGUUCAUGCAGACCCCAGGGCAUUGCUUUUCUGGAUGAGGAACAUAUUUACCUGAUUGUAUCACUGCAAUUCUGGGCUUAAUACACCUGUGUUAGGAGGAAAAUGUUCACAGCAAGAAGAGUCUGACUAUAGAUUCAAGGCAGUUGAAAUGUUGAUCAUAUCCCAAAGCAGAAAAUGAGAUGGAUUCUCCAGCCCACUGCAAAUACCAGCACCAUGCCCAGACUGACCAAACUGCUCCUCCUCAGCACUAAGGUCUGUUAGCUGCUGCCUUUCUACUUGAUCUCAAUUUCUAAAUAAAAUGCAAAACGUUGAAACAAGAAAGGGUCCCAGAAGGGUUCAUUGCUAUUGAGUUUAUGUGGUGGGAAGAACCAUUCUAGCCAGGAACUGUUUAUGACCUCAUGCCACGGCAAAAUCUCCUUCUGUUGGCCACUGCUGGGACGACACAGUGGGUUAGUUAGACCUCUGUUCUCAUCAGUACAACAGACAUUAAACAAAAGGAAAGUAGAUCUGCGUAGAGGAUGAGAAGAGCUCUGUUACAAAGCAGCUGAUACACCAUGUUUUAGGUGGUGUCAGACGCUGCAUCCCCACUGCCAUAGCAUCUCCC
Molecule: long non-coding RNA, 707 nt
Filed under: Coturnix japonica (Japanese quail)
Lineage: Eukaryota; Metazoa; Chordata; Aves; Galliformes; Phasianidae
Description: lncRNA (ENSCJPG00005015988.1)
Source: RNAcentral